AGGGAAUCUUCCACAAUGGACGAAAGUCUGAUGGAGCAACGCCGCGUGAGUGAAGAAGGUUUUCGGAUCGUAAAGCUCUGUUGUUGGUGAAGAAGGAUAGAGGCAGUAACUGGUCUUUAUUUGACGGUAAUCAACCAGAAAGUCACGGCUAACUACGUGCCAGCAGCCGCGGUAAUACGUAGGUGGCAAGCGUUGUCCGGAUUUAUUGGGCGUAAAGCGAGCGCAGGCGGAAUGAUAAGUCUGAUGUGAAAGCCCACGGCUCAACCGUGGAACUGCAUCGGAAACUGUCAUUCUUGAGUGCAGAAGAGGAGAGUGGAACUCCAUGUGUAGCGGUGGAAUGCGUAGAUAUAUGGAAGAACACCAGUGGCGAAGGCGGCUCUCUGGUCUGCAACUGACGCUGAGGCUCGAAAGCAUGGGUAGCGAACAGGAUUAGAUACCCUGGUAGUCCAUGCCGUAAACGAUGAGCGCUAGGUGUUGGGGACUUUCCGGUCCUCAGUGCCGCAGCAAACGCAUUAAGCGCUCCGCCUGGGGAGUACGACCGCAAGGUUGAAGC
Molecule: ribosomal RNA, 553 nt
Filed under: uncultured bacterium
Lineage: Bacteria
Description: partial 16S ribosomal RNA
Rfam family: Bacterial small subunit ribosomal RNA
Source: RNAcentral